RNAcentral lists this ribosomal RNA (253 nucleotides) under uncultured bacterium. Its description in RNAcentral is "partial 16S ribosomal RNA". It matches the Rfam family "Bacterial small subunit ribosomal RNA", at positions 524 to 776 of the family's 1533-position model. The record is from RNAcentral.
CACGUAGGGGCCAAGCGUUGUCCGGAUUUAUUGGGUUUAAAGGGUGCGUAGGCGGUCUUUUAAGUCAGUGGUGAAAGCCUCCAGCUUAACUGGAGAACUGCCAUUGAUACUGGAAGACUUGAGUACAGACGAGGUAGGCGGAAUUGACAGUGUAGCGAUGAAAUGCAUAGAUAUUGUCAAGAACACCGAUUGCGAAGGCAGCUUACUAGACUGUAACUGACGCUGAGGCACGAAAGUGUGGGGAUCAAACAGG